Molecule: ribosomal RNA, 450 nt
Filed under: uncultured bacterium
Lineage: Bacteria
Description: bacterial SSU rRNA
Rfam family: Bacterial small subunit ribosomal RNA
Source: RNAcentral
GUGGGGAAUUUUGGACAAUGGGGGAAACCCUGAUCCAGCAAUGCCGCGUGUGCGAAGAAGGCCUUCGGGUUGUAAAGCACUUUUGUCAGGGAAGAAAUCCUUUGGGCUAAUACCCUAGGGGGAUGACGGUACCUGAAGAAUAAGCACCGGCUAACUACGUGCCAGCAGCCGCGGUAAUACGUAGGGUGCAAGCGUUAAUCGGAAUUACUGGGCGUAAAGCGUGCGCAGGCGGUUGUGUAAGACAGGUGUGAAAUCCCCGGGCUUAACCUGGGAAUUGCAUUUGUGACUGCACGACUAGAGUGUGUCAGAGGGGGGUGGAAUUCCACGUGUAGCAGUGAAAUGCGUAGAUAUGUGGAGGAACACCAAUGGCGAAGGCAGCCCCCUGGGAUAACACUGACGCUCAUGCACGAAAGCGUGGGGAGCAAACAGGAUUAGAAACCCUAGUAGUCC